Molecule: ribosomal RNA, 251 nt
Filed under: uncultured Bartonella sp.
Lineage: Bacteria; Pseudomonadati; Pseudomonadota; Alphaproteobacteria; Hyphomicrobiales; Bartonellaceae
Description: partial 16S ribosomal RNA
Rfam family: Bacterial small subunit ribosomal RNA
Source: RNAcentral
UACGAAGGGGGCUAGCGUUGUUCGGAUUUACUGGGCGUAAAGCGCCUGUAGGCGGCUAUUUAAGUCAGAGGUGAAAUCCCAGGGCUCAACCCUUGAACUGCCUUUGAUACUGGAUGUCUUGAGUAUGGAAGAGGUGAGUGGAAUUCCGAGUGUAGAGGUCAAAUUCGUAGAUAUUCGGAGGAACACCAGUGGCGAAGGCGGCUCACUGGUCCAUUACUGACGCUGAGGUGCGAAAGCGUGGGGAGCAAACA